UCGGGAAUAUUGCGCAAUGGAGGAAACUCUGACGCAGUGACGCCGCGUAUAGGAAGAAGGUUUUCGGAUUGUAAACUAUUGUCGUUAGGGAAGAAAAAAUGACAGUACCUAAGGAGGAAGCUCCGGCUAACUACGUGCCAGCAGCCGCGGUAAUACGUAGGGAGCAAGCGUUAUCCGGAUUUAUUGGGUGUAAAGGGUGCGUAGACGGGCGAUCAAGUUAGUUGUGAAAUCCCUCGGCUCAACUGAGGAACUGCAACUAAAACUGGUUGUCUUGAGUGCAGGAGAGGUAAGUGGAAUUCCUAGUGUAGCGGUGAAAUGCGUAGAUAUUAGGAGGAACACCAGUGGCGAAGGCGACUUACUGGACUGUAACUGACGUUGAGGCACGAAAGUGUGGGGAGCAAACAGGAUUAGAUACCC
Molecule: ribosomal RNA, 417 nt
Filed under: uncultured bacterium
Lineage: Bacteria
Description: bacterial SSU rRNA
Rfam family: Bacterial small subunit ribosomal RNA
Source: RNAcentral